GCCGGCCGCUAGCCCGCUCCCGCCCGCCCACCCCUCCAGUCCCCAAGCUUGGGCUGCCCUCAGCGAAUGCCUGAACGGAGGCUGUCUGGCGACAGCGCGCCUGGGAAGUUAAAGGACUUUUUGUCCUGACCCACCCUUGGAGUUCCUGUCUCAUCAGUUCCACCCAGGCACCUUGGCAUUGAUAAACCCUCGAGAGUGACUGUUGCUUGGCAGGGGAGCCCCUGCCAAGUGUUCCUGACCACCAAGGCCGCUGUAGGAAGCACAGAAACGUCGUGGGCUCAGGCACCUGGAUUAAA
Molecule: long non-coding RNA, 296 nt
Organism: Nannospalax galili (Upper Galilee mountains blind mole rat)
Lineage: Eukaryota; Metazoa; Chordata; Mammalia; Rodentia; Spalacidae
Exons: 2
Source: RefSeq, a predicted model, not a curated record